This 253-nucleotide ribosomal RNA is filed under the name uncultured bacterium. RNAcentral describes it as "partial 16S ribosomal RNA". It matches the Rfam family "Bacterial small subunit ribosomal RNA", at positions 524 to 776 of the family's 1533-position model. The record is from RNAcentral.
UACAGAGGGUGCAAACGUUGUUCGGAAUCACUGGGCGUAAAGCGUGUGUAGGUGGCUGAUUAAGUCGGAUGUGAAAGCCCCGGGCUCAACCCGGGAAGUGCACUCGAUACUGAUCAGCUUGAGUAUCGGAGAGGUUGGUGGAAUUCUCGGUGUAGAGGUGAAAUUCGUAGAUAUCGAGAGGAACACCGGUGGCGAAGGCGGCCAACUGGACGAAUACUGACACUGAGACACGAAAGCGUGGGGAGCAAACAGG